UGGGGGGCGUGCUAUAAUGCAGUCGAGCGGCAGACGAGAGCUGCUCCUCUGACGUAGCGGCGGACGGUGAGUAACACGUGGAUAACCUACCUAUAAGACUGGGAUAACUUCGGGAAACCGGAGCUAAUACCGGAUAAUAUAUUGAACCGCAUGGUUCAAUAGUGAAAGACGGUUUUGCUGUCACUUAUAGAUGGAUCCGCGCCGCAUUAGCUAGUUGGUAAGGUAACGGCUUACCAAGGCAACGAUGCGUAGCCGACCUGAGAGGGUGAUCGGCCACACUGGAACUGAGACACGGUCCAGACUCCUACGGGAGGCAGCAGUAGGGAAUCUUCCGCAAUGGGCGAAAGCCUGACGGAGCACCGCCGCGUGAGUGAUGAAGGUCUUCGGAUCGUAAAACUCUGUUAUUAGGGAAGAACAAAUGUGUAAGUAACUAUGCACGUCUUGACGGUACCUAAUCAGAAGCCACGCAAAUA
This 473-nucleotide ribosomal RNA is filed under the name Staphylococcus epidermidis. RNAcentral describes it as "bacterial SSU rRNA". It matches the Rfam family "Bacterial small subunit ribosomal RNA", at positions 38 to 502 of the family's 1533-position model. The record is from RNAcentral. Lineage: Bacteria; Bacillati; Bacillota; Bacilli; Caryophanales; Staphylococcaceae.